GACGAACCGUCCAAACGUUAUUCGGAAUCACUGGGCUUAAAGGGUGCGUAGGCGGCCCGGAAAGUUGUGUGUGAAAGCCCUCGGCUCAACCGAGGAAUAGCGCGCAAAACUACCGGGCUCGAGGGAGACAGAGGUAAGCGGAACUUAGGGUGGAGCGGUGAAAUGCGUUGAUAUCCUAAGGAACACCGGGAGCGAAAGCGGCUUACUGGGUCUCUUCUGACGCUGAGGCACGAAAGCUAGGGGAGCGAACGGG
This 253-nucleotide ribosomal RNA is filed under the name uncultured bacterium. RNAcentral describes it as "partial 16S ribosomal RNA". It matches the Rfam family "Bacterial small subunit ribosomal RNA", at positions 524 to 776 of the family's 1533-position model. The record is from RNAcentral.